Long non-coding RNA from Brienomyrus brachyistius, 1369 nucleotides. RefSeq lists it as uncharacterized. NCBI's taxonomy places the organism in Eukaryota, Metazoa, Chordata, Actinopteri, Osteoglossiformes, Mormyridae. The record is from RefSeq and is a predicted model, not a curated record. The transcript has 3 exons.
CCGCAUUUGGGAGGAACCUGAUCAUUUCCUGUCUGUAAAUGAAAGUGAAAUAGACUUAAAGCCAGAAUCGCCAUUUCAGCAAGAAACACGAAUAAGAUUCCGGAGGAUAUAAAGAUAUUUGUUUUGCAAGUUUAGGUGAAACUGAAACUACAGCAAAAACUUGAGUCACUGGUCUGAAGUGAUUUUACUCUGAAGUGGAUUUUCAGUACAAGAGAAAACAUCUGUUUAUUAAAGCAAGUUUACUGGUUUGCAGAGAAAAGUAUGGCAAGCUUGGCUGAUUUUUUAGAAUUUGUAGACGACUUCUGCACGUCUUUUGAAUACCAUCUGGAGCAUGACGACACACGGAGAGGUAGUAGGACAUACAUCAUGUACCAUGGUACCACAUUAAGAGCUGCAGUAGAUAUUGAACAGAACGGAUUUCAGCAGUCCAGCGAUGGCAUGCUUGGACCUGGAGUCUAUGUCAGUCGGAGCUUUGAGAAGGCCAAAGCUUACCCAAGAAAUGUACCCUUCUAUGAGCGGAAAGCUGUACUCAAGCUGAGGGUUCGAGUAGGAAAAGUAAAGAAGAUCGACCGGCAGGGACACCCCCUCCAAAAAACCUGGCAUGAGAGUGGAUAUGACACAGCCUGGGUGCCCCCCAACUGCGGAAUGGUUCCUAGCGGCUUGGAGGAAGAUUGUGUUUGGGAUCCCAGCAGGAUCGAAGUUUUAGGUAUAAUCCUGGGUGCAGAGCCUGUCCCAGCCACUAUGGGCAAGGCAAAGACCACUCAGGAUGGGGCACCGACCCACUGCAGGGCGCAGUCACACGCCAUUCACUCACACGCCAUUCACUCACACACUAUUCACUCACACACCAUUCACUCACACACCAUACACUCACACACCAGUCACUCACACACCAGUCACUCACACACCAGUCACUCACACACCAUACACUCACACACCAGUCACUCACACAUGCACAUCUAUGGGCAAUUUGGUAACUUCAAUAAAUCUCAGCAUGUUUUUGGUCUGUGGGAGGAAGCAAGAGUAUCCAGAGGAAACCCCCACCUCAACCAAGAGGGAACAUGCAAACUUCACAUACUUGGAACACAGGCAGAGACCCAGGCAGAGACCCAGGCCCCAGAGGUGUGAGGUGACAGUGCUACCCACUGCACCACUGUGUGAAAUAUGCUACAUAACUUCAUAAUGGAAUGUUAUAUAACCAUCAAAUUUUAUGUUUAUGUCCUAUUAUAGAAGAUAAGAUUGUAAAAUCGUUUGUCAGCAGUGAAAUCUAACACUCUCAGCCAAAAAGCCUAAGAGUGGCUGCUCUGUCCUGAAAUCGUACAGCUGUAGUGUUCAAGCGCAUUAUGUAUUUAAUAAAACAUUAAAUGAG